GAUGAACGCUGGCGGCGUGCCUAAUACAUGCAAGUCGAGCGAACAGACGAGGAGCUUGCUCCUUUGACGUUAGCGGCGGACGGGUGAGUAACACGUGGGUCACCUACCUAUAAGACUGGGCUAACUUCGGGAAACCGGAGCUAAUACCGGAUAAUAUUUCGAACCGCAUGGUUCGAUAGUGAAAGAUGGCUCUGCUAUUACUUAUUGAUGGACCUGCGCCGUAUUAGCUAGUUGGUAGGGUAACGGCUUACCAAGGCAACGGUAGGUAGCCGACCUGAGAGGGUGAUCGGCCACACUGGAACUGAGACACGGUCCAGACUCCUACGGGAGGCAGCAGUAGGGAAUCUGCCGCAAUGGGCGAAAGCCUGACGGAGCAGCGCCGCGUGAGUGAUGAAGGUCUUCGGAUCGUAAAACUCUGUUAUUAGGGAAGAACAAACGUGUAAGUAACUGUGCACGUCUUGACGGUACCUAAUCAGAAAGCCACGGCUAACUACGUG
RNAcentral lists this ribosomal RNA (497 nucleotides) under uncultured bacterium. RNAcentral describes it as "partial 16S ribosomal RNA". It matches the Rfam family "Bacterial small subunit ribosomal RNA", at positions 28 to 507 of the family's 1533-position model. The record is from RNAcentral.